RNAcentral lists this transfer RNA (185 nucleotides) under Pongo abelii (Sumatran orangutan). It matches the Rfam family "tRNA". Rfam says of the family: Transfer RNA (tRNA) molecules are approximately 80 nucleotides in length. Their secondary structure includes four short double-helical elements and three loops (D, anti-codon, and T loops). The record is from Rfam by way of RNAcentral. Lineage: Eukaryota; Metazoa; Chordata; Mammalia; Primates; Hominidae.
GGCUGUAUAGCUCAGUGGUAGAGCAUUUGACUUCGGAAUCCUAUACUCAGGGGAAGGAGAACUGGGGGUUUCUCAGUGGGUCAAAGGAAUUGUACUGUAGUGGUAAACCAAAACCAACUCUCUUUAUAAGCUAUGUAACAAACAUUAAAGUCAUAUGUAGCUGGGUUCAAAUCCUAUUUCUGCCA